AGUGAACGCUGGCGGUAGGCCUAACACAUGCAAGUCGAACGGCAGCACAGUAAGAGCUUGCUCUUACGGGUGGCGAGUGGCGGACGGGUGCGGAAUACAUCGGAAUCUACUUUUUCGUGGGGGAUAACGUAGGGAAACCUACGCUAAUACCGCAUACGACCUACGGGUGAAAGCAGGGGAUCUUCGGACCUUGCGCGAUUGAAUGAGCCGAUGUCGGAUUAGCUAGUUGGCGGGGUAAAGGCCCACCAAGGCGACGAUCCGUAGCUGGUCUGAGAGGAUGAUCCGACACACUGGAAGUGAGACACGGUCCAGACUCCUACGGGAGGCAGCAGUGGGGAAUAUUGGACAAUGGGCGCAACCCUGAUCCAGCCAUACCGCGUGGGUGAAGAAGGACUUCGGGUUGUAAAGCCCUUUUGUUGGGAAAGAAACGCAGCAGGUUCAGACCCCGCUGUUCUGACGGUACCCAAAGAAUAAGCACCGGCUAACUUCGUG
This 492-nucleotide ribosomal RNA is filed under the name uncultured bacterium. RNAcentral's name for it is "partial 16S ribosomal RNA". It matches the Rfam family "Bacterial small subunit ribosomal RNA", at positions 29 to 507 of the family's 1533-position model. The record is from RNAcentral.